RNAcentral lists this ribosomal RNA (267 nucleotides) under Triticum aestivum (bread wheat). RNAcentral describes it as "partial small subunit ribosomal RNA". Lineage: Eukaryota; Viridiplantae; Streptophyta; Magnoliopsida; Poales; Poaceae. The record is from RNAcentral.
AUGUCUUCUACGACGACGACGACCGCGUCCGACGUCGCCGGCGUCUGGUUCUUCGGCAAGCUCUCCGCCGCCAUCCGUGGGAAGAAGAGGCAGGCCGUGCCGACGGUGAGCCACGCCGAUCACCAACACCAGAUGGGAGGGGCCGCUCAUGGCAACAAGGCGGCCGCGGCGGCGAAGCCUUCCGUCGUCGACCGGAAGGAGGCCGGCGGCGGUGGGAUGUCGGACGCGACGGUGUACCUGCUGCUCGACCGCUUCGCACCCAGCUAG